GAGUAUCUGUUGUGCUCGUGCUUUGAUUUAUUUACCUGAGCCGAUUAAUUUUAUAACAGGAGAUGAGAUUGGUUGCUAUUGUGUAUGCCUGCCUAUGAGCGGGAAACCUACGGCAAACAUCGAACUUCCACCUUGAGCUAAGUGCUUCAGGACCAUUUCAACACGGCACAACGGACCCUUU
Molecule: non-coding RNA, 181 nt
Filed under: Candidatus Thioglobus sp.
Lineage: Bacteria; Pseudomonadati; Pseudomonadota; Gammaproteobacteria; Pseudothioglobaceae (SeqCode)
Description: 6S RNA
Rfam family: 6S / SsrS RNA
About the family: E. coli 6S RNA was the first non coding RNA to be sequenced, but its function was unknown until recently.
Source: RNAcentral